UACGUAGGGUGCAAGCGUUGUCCGGAAUUAUUGGGCGUAAAGAGCUCGUAGGCGGUCUGUCGCGUCUGCUGUGAAAACCCAGGGCUCAACCCUGGGCCUGCGUUCGAUACGGGCAGACUAGAGUUCGGUAGGGGAGACUGGAAUUCCUGGUGUAGCGGUGAAAUGCGCAGAUAUCAGGAGGAACACCGGUGGCGAAGGCGGAUCUCUGGGCCAUUACUGACGCUGAGGAGCGAAAGCGUGGGGAGCGAACAGG
RNAcentral lists this ribosomal RNA (253 nucleotides) under uncultured bacterium. RNAcentral describes it as "partial 16S ribosomal RNA". It matches the Rfam family "Bacterial small subunit ribosomal RNA", at positions 524 to 776 of the family's 1533-position model. The record is from RNAcentral.